UCAGGUGAUACCUUUUCCCUUCUUUAUUUUUGGAGACAUGUUUAUGCAUUGAGGACAAUGUAACUUUUAGUUGGGGAGAGGAUACAUUUUUUUUGUGAAUUGCAUUCCAUGAUAAAUUGUGUGAUCAUGGAAUUGUGAAAAAGUUUACAUUUUUGCCUGGACUUCUAAGUUGCUGCAUGUCUAUGCCUAUGUGCUUGAGUGACAAAAUAUGCCACUAGGAGUUGGUUGUGUUUAUGAGAAUCUGGAUAUCAGGACACUUGCUAUAUUUCAUUUUGUGCACACAAGCCUUGUGGUAAGAUAGUGGUUUAACACAUGUAACUAGAGGAAUCUCCUGCUAGAGCCUUCUUUAGAGAGAAUUGGUGAGGAUUGAGAGUUAUCACAUAUUAAAAAUGUAAUAAGUGUUCAUUGAUUGUGUGAAUUGGAAACUUCUUCUGAGAAUGACAUUACAUGGUAUGUGGUAAGACGGUGGUUUGUACUUGAAAAAUGAUAACAGUCAAUUUAGGAUUGAAUUUGAGCCUUCAGACUAGUUCUUUUCCAUAAUUAUAAUCCCUUAGUAGCC
RNAcentral lists this long non-coding RNA (559 nucleotides) under Olea europaea (common olive). RNAcentral's name for it is "long non-coding RNA (OEUR_LNC007093)". The record is from RNAcentral. Lineage: Eukaryota; Viridiplantae; Streptophyta; Magnoliopsida; Lamiales; Oleaceae.